UCCUUCUGUAUUUCUUGUGGUCCCGGAGC
This 29-nucleotide non-coding RNA is filed under the name Mus musculus (house mouse). Lineage: Eukaryota; Metazoa; Chordata; Mammalia; Rodentia; Muridae. The record is from RNAcentral.